UGUCCCCGGCUCCGGGCGAUGGUGGAGCCGGUGUGAGCGGCGCCGGGGCUGCAGCCGGCUGCGGCCCCCCCUGGCCCCCAGCCCCGGGGGGGUGCCCGGGCCCCGCCAUGCCCGCCGGCAGCAACGAGCCCGACGGCAUCCUCAGCUACCAGAGACAUGACGAAGAGGCAGUGAUUGACCAGGGAAGAACGAGCAACGUUGUCAACAUUCACUAUGAGAAGGAGGAGCUGGAAGGCCACCGGACCCUGUAUGUGGGGGUGCGGAUGCCGCUGGUGCGGCAGAGCCACCGGCACCACCGGCCCCACAGCCGCAAGGAUCGGAAACGGGAACGGGAGAAGGACUCUGCCCCGACGGAGCAGGGCUACCACUACACCCCAUCCCAGCGGGUGCAGUUCAUCCUUGGGACUGAGGAGGACGAGCAGCACGUCCCCCAUGACUUGUUCACCGAGCUGGAUGAGAUCUGCCUGAAAGACGGCAAAGAUGCCGAGUGGAAGGAGACAGCAAGGUGGCUGAAGUUUGAGGAGGACGUAGAAGACGGCGGCGAGCGCUGGAGCAAGCCCUACGUGGCCACAUUGUCCUUGCACAGCCUCUUUGAGCUGAGGAGCUGCCUCAUCAAUGGGAUGGUGCUGCUGGAUGUUUGUGCCAACAGCAUGGAAGAGAUCGCAGACAUGAUCCUGGGCCAGCAGGAGCAGCCCGCGGAGCUGGAGGAGCGCACGAGGGCCCAAGUGCGAGAGGUGCUCCUGAAGAAGCAUCACCACCAGAACGAGAAGAAACGAAACAACCUUCUCCCCAUCGUCCGCUCCUUCGCCGACGGGAGCAAGAAGCAGUCGGAGCUGCACCUCCUCGACAAGCCAGCCCAAACACUCAGCCCUCAUCCUUCUCCCACCACUGCAGAAGCUAAGAAUGGUGUGACCCACGAGACCAGCACAAUGGACUUAAGCAAGGCGGAGCUGCACUUCCUGAAGAAGAUUCCCACUGGGGCUGAAGCAUCCAACGUGCUGGUGGGAGAGCUGGACUUCCUUCCCCAGCCCAUCGUGGCAUUUGUCCGCCUCACCCCGGCUGUCCUCCUCUCGGGCAUGACAGAAGUUCCCAUCCCAACAAGGUUCCUGUUUGUUUUGCUUGGACCAGGAGGAAAAGCCCAUCGGUACCAUGAGAUCGGCAGGUCCAUGGCUACUAUCAUGACAGAUGAGGUUUUCCAUGAUGUUGCAUACAAAGCCAAGGACCGGGCUGACCUCGUGGCCGGCAUCGAUGAGUUCCUCGACCAGGUCACGGUGCUGCCACCGGGAGAGUGGGAUCCAUCGAUCCGAAUCGAGCCCCCGAAAAGCGUCCCCUCACAGGAGAAAAGGAAGAUGCCAGGAGCACUUGAGGACAGCACUUCUCACAGUAAGCCGGAGAAGCACAGUGGUCCUGAACUGGAGCGGACGGGAAGGCUCUUUGGAGGUUUGAUCCUGGAUGUGAAGCGGAAAGCCCCGUGGUUCUGGAGUGACUUUCGGGAUGGUGUGAGCCUGCAGUGCCUGGCAUCCUUCCUCUUCCUCUACUGUGCCUGCAUGUCCCCCGUCAUCACCUUUGGGGGACUGCUGGGGGAAGCGACCAAAGGCCACAUAAGCGCCAUGGAGUCGCUGCUGGGUGCAUCCAUGACUGGCGUGGUGUAUUCCCUCUUUGCUGGCCAACCUCUCACCAUCCUCGGCAGCACCGGACCCGUCCUUGUGUUUGAGAAGAUCCUCUACAAGUUCUGCAGGGAGCACGCGCUCUCGUACCUCUCGCUGCGGGCAUGCAUCGGGCUGUGGACCGCCUUCUUCUGCGUCGUGCUGGUGGCCACCGACGCCAGCUCUCUGGUGUGCUACAUCACCCGCUUCACCGAGGAAGCCUUCGCCUCCCUCAUCUGCAUCAUCUUCAUCUACGAGGCUCUCGAGAAGCUGAGUCACCUGCGAGAGACCUACCCUGUGCACAUGCACAGCAAGCUCGACCUCCUCACCAUCUACUACUGUAAGUGUGAGGCCCCGACCCACCCCAGCAAUGAAACCCGGCGCUUCUGGGAGAGCAACAAGAUCAACGUGUCUGGCAUCGCCUGGGAGAACCUGACGGUGACUGUAAGUGCCCUGAGCCACUGCUCCCUCGUGCUGCAGCCACGAGGUCCAGGAGCAUCCGCUUGGUUGCCCAAGUCAGAGCCCUUCAGGUGAUGAUGGGCUUCAGCCUGUGCUGGUGCUGCUCCGCUUCAAUGGAAUGAGUGGAUUUAACUCGCUUGGUCCUGGGAAGGAGAAUCCCCCUUAUCCAGCCCACCUUGUCCCCAGCAUUGUGGGGAGUAACCAUCCUCCUCAACCUGGUUGCAGAACAAUGUUUCUGACCAGGAGCAAGGUUUAAUGGGUGGUUUGAGUGCUGCAGCAGUCAGAGGGCUUGAGUUCAUGCUUAAGGUGGUAACUGGCUUCCUCAUCUGGUUCCUAGGAACUCCAGGCCUUGCUUCCCCAUUCAGUGCUCUCUGCAGGCACAUGCAGAAACUGGAGCACCUGAGCCACCUCUCGGGCUGUUGCUGCCUGAAGCAGAGCCCAGGCACAUGGUGGGAGGCUCUUAUGGGCAUCUCCAUCCCCUCCUGGCAAGGUUUUGCCAGCCCCACACUGGGAAGCGACAGUUUGUCUCUUCUCCAUUGAUAGCGUGGUUGUCUUGGCCUGCCUGCCUUGUUCCCUCUUUCUCUAUCCCCAAGAGUGUCCAGGUUUCCUUCCCCUCUGUUGUCUUCCUCAGCCACAGUUACCUGCCAUUCAAGUGGAGGAUGUGCCAUGGGUCUUGCGGUAUGGUGUCCCACCAAAGCCCACCUCUCUGCUCUCCUCUGUGCAGUUCAAUGUGCCACUUGUUUGGCUGCUGCUGCUCCUUAAAUCUAAACCUCCGUCAGCAGCAGUCACAAGAUCGUGGAUCUUGGACCAAGAUCCUCAACACUCCCCAGUUCUCCAAGGUUUCCUUGCUGCACGUGCCCUGCCUUUGUGUCCUGAUGCUCUGUUUCCCCAGGAAUGUCGCUAUGUGCACGGAGAGUUUCAAGGACCCGCAUGUGGACGCAACGGCCCCUACACGCCUAAUGUCCUCUUCUGGUGCUGCAUCCUCUUCUUCUCCACCUUUGUCCUGUCGAGCUUGUUGAAGAAGUUUAAAACCAGCCGUUACUUCCCAACCAGAGUACGCUCCACAGUAAGUGACUUUGCUGUCUUCCUCGCCAUCGUCAUCAUGGUGCUCAUUGACUUCAUGGUUGGGAUCCCAUCACCCAAGCUCCACGUCCCCCAUAUGUUCAAGCCCACCAGAGAUGACCGUGGGUGGCUCAUCAACCCCAUAGGACCCAACCCUUGGUGGACGGUGUUGGCUGCGCUCAUCCCAGCUCUGCUCUGCACCAUCCUGAUAUUCAUGGACCAGCAGAUCACUGCCGUUAUCGUGAACAGGAAGGAGCACAGGCUGAAGAAAGGAUGCGGGUACCACCUGGACCUUUUCAUGGUGGCCGUGAUGCUGGGGGUGUGCUCCGUGAUGGGCCUGCCCUGGUUUGUGGCUGCGACCGUCCUGUCCAUCACCCACGUGAACAGCCUCAAAGUGGAGUCUGACUGCUCAGCUCCGGGAGAACAACCCAAGUUUCUGGGGAUACGAGAGCAGAGAGUCACUGGCUUGAUGAUCUUCGUGCUCAUGGGCUGCUCUGUCUUCUUCACGUCUGCCUUGAAGUUCAUACCAAUGCCUGUGCUUUACGGUGUCUUUCUCUACAUGGGGGUGUCGUCGCUCAGAGGAAUUCAGUUCUUUGACCGCUUGAAGCUCUUCUGGAUGCCAGCAAAGCACCAGCCGGAUUUCAUCUACCUGCGGCACGUCCCCUUGCGAAAGGUGCAUUUCUUCACCUUGAUCCAGCUCAUCUGCCUCGUCCUGCUCUGGGCCAUCAAGGUGUCCCGUGCUGCCAUCAUCUUCCCCAUGAUGGUUUUGGCGCUCGUCUUUGUCCGGAAGGUGAUGGAUUUCUGCUUCUCGAAGCGAGAGCUCAGCUUUCUGGAUGACCUCAUGCCAGAAAGCAAGAAGAAGAGGUUGGACGAUGCCAAAAAUGAAGCCAAAGAAGAAGAGGAGUCCCGCAAGAUGAUGGAAGCUGCUGCUGCAAAUUCAGUUCAGCUGCAUCUGCUGGGGAAGAGCAGCAAGUUGGAUGUCCCAAAGCAAAGCAGCGACAGGGCUGACCCUUCCGAGAUUAACAUCUCGGAUGAGAUGCCGAAGACGGCCGUGUGGAAAGCUCUCACCAUGGACACAGAAACGCUCUGAAGGUGGCUUGGAAACAGGAGCCUGGAUUUGGAAGGGGAGGAGUGAGAAUGUGACUCAGGGAUGUGCCAACGCAGACACGGGGAGAAACCGCUUCUUCCAGCUGGAGGGUUCCCAUUGAAGCCACGUGGAUGGGGUUGGGUCACGCUUGGUGUGCUCCAGGCACUCGGUGUCUCCCGACCAGCAGACCGAGGUGCCCAUCACAGCCCAUGGGAGUUGGGUGUUGUCAAGCCUCCGUGUACACGUGUGUGGUGUUGCGGUUCCGAGGGGCCCUGCUGCCCCUCUCUGUUCAGUGCUACUUUUAUACUAUCUAAUUCCUCCAUUCCUUUCUUUUUUGUUUUCCAGAUAUAAACUCUGAAUGUACAAACCCA
Strigops habroptila (Kakapo) is the source of this 4625-nucleotide RNA transcript. It is a transcript of the gene named solute carrier family 4 member 8, with no coding region annotated. The transcript is spliced from 24 exons. The record is from RefSeq and is a predicted model, not a curated record. NCBI's taxonomy places the organism in Eukaryota, Metazoa, Chordata, Aves, Psittaciformes, Psittacidae.